UGAUUUUGCGGAUAUUCAAAAGUCGACUCUAAAUGAUAAUAAUUAUAUCUCAUGUUUUUUAUUACGAGAAAAAUAAUUAGUUUUCUCGCUGCUCAUUUAUUUUGAGAAACUGUUUUGUUUGUAUACAAAUUUUAUAAUUUCUUGUAUUUAGUGUUUGAAUCGUGCUAUCUAAAUUUACUAUAACAAAUUAAGGUUUGAAGAUCAGAUCCGGCUUCUGAUAAUUUCAUAUGUGAUCUCUUUGGAUAGCGUAGAGGAACAUUAUUUUAUUG
Molecule: long non-coding RNA, 269 nt
Filed under: Ananas comosus (pineapple)
Lineage: Eukaryota; Viridiplantae; Streptophyta; Magnoliopsida; Poales; Bromeliaceae
Description: long non-coding RNA (ACOM_LNC032841)
Source: RNAcentral